This 489-nucleotide ribosomal RNA is filed under the name uncultured bacterium. RNAcentral describes it as "bacterial SSU rRNA". It matches the Rfam family "Bacterial small subunit ribosomal RNA", at positions 30 to 518 of the family's 1533-position model. The record is from RNAcentral.
UGAACGCUGGCGGCGUGCCUAACACAUGCAAGUCGAACGGGGUACUGGCAGCGGAGAUUCGGUCAAAGCAGCCUUAAUCUAGUGGCGGACGGGUGAGUAACGCGUGGGGAACCUGCCCUGUACUGGGGGAUAACAGUGAGAAAUCACUGCUAAUACCGCAUAAGCGCACAGCAUCGCAUGAUGCAGUGUGAAAAACUGAGGUGGUACAGGAUGGCUCCGCGUUGGAUUAGCCAGUUGGCGGGGUAACGGCCCACCAAAGCGACGAUCCAUAGCCGGCCUGAGAGGGUGAACGGCCACAUUGGGACUGAGACACGGCCCAGACUCCUACGGGAGGCAGCAGUGGGGAAUAUCGCACAAUGGGGGGAAACCCUGAUGCAAGGCGACGCCGCGUGAAGGAAGAAGUAUCUCGGUAUGUAAACUUCUAUCAGCAGGGAAGAUGAUGACGGUACCUGACUAAGAAGCCCCGGCUAACUACGUGCCAGCCGCAGC